GCCAGCCCGCUCAGAAACUCAAAGGAAUUGACGGGGCCCGCACAAGCGGUGGAGCAUGUGGUUUAAUUCGAUGAUACGCGAGGAACCUUACCUGGGCUCAAAUGUAUGUUGACGUAUUCUGAAAGGGAUACUUCUUCGGACAAUAUACAAGGUGCUGCAUGGUUGUCGUCAGCUCGUGCCGUGAGGUGUCGGGUUAAGUCCCAUAACGAGCGCAACCCCUAUCAUUAGUUGCCAUCAGGUCAAGCUGGGGACUCUAAUGAAACUGCCUACGCAAGUAGUGAGGAAGGUGGGGAUGACGUCAAAUCAGCACGGCCCUUACGUCCAGGGCUACACACGUGCUACAAUGGCCGGUACAAAGGGCAGCUACCUGGUGACAGGAUGCUAAUCUCAAAAGCCGGUCUCAGUUCGGAUUGAAGUCUGCAACUCGACUUCAUGAAGCUGGAAUCGCUAGUAAUCGUGGAUCAGCCAAGCCGCGGUGAAUACGUUCCCGGGCCUU
RNAcentral lists this ribosomal RNA (496 nucleotides) under uncultured Sphingobacteriales bacterium. Its description in RNAcentral is "bacterial SSU rRNA". It matches the Rfam family "Bacterial small subunit ribosomal RNA", at positions 885 to 1382 of the family's 1533-position model. The record is from RNAcentral. Lineage: Bacteria; Pseudomonadati; Bacteroidota; Sphingobacteriia; Sphingobacteriales.